RNAcentral lists this ribosomal RNA (513 nucleotides) under Psylliodes sp. BMNH#704452. RNAcentral describes it as "partial 16S ribosomal RNA". The stretch from base 386 to 513 matches the Rfam family "Bacterial large subunit ribosomal RNA", at positions 2473 to 2600 of the family's 2925-position model. Lineage: Eukaryota; Metazoa; Arthropoda; Insecta; Coleoptera; Chrysomelidae. The record is from RNAcentral.
GGCCUUUUGUAAAAAAUUUAAGGUCUAACCUGCCCACUGAAUAUUGUUUAAAUGGCCGCGGUAUUUUGACCGUGCUAAGGUAGCAUAAUCAUUAGUUUUUUAAUUGAAAGCUGGAAUGAAGGGUUGAAUGAAAAAAUAACUGUCUCUUAUAAGUUUUAUUAGAAUUUUAUUUUUAAGUUAAAAAGCUUAAAUAAUUUUAAAAGACGAGAAGACCCUAUAGAGUUUAAUAUAAUAAUUUUUAUAAAAAUAAAGUAUUUAGUUUUUAUAAAAGUUUUUAUAUUUAAUUGGGGUGAUUAAAAAAUUUAAUAAACUUUUUUUAUAUUAUUAUAUUAAUUAAUAAGUAUUUGAUCCAAAUUUUUUGAUUAUAAGAAUAAAUUACCUUAGGGAUAACAGCGUAAUUUUAUUGGAGAGUUCUAAUCGAUAAUAAAGAUUGCGACCUCGAUGUUGGAUUAAAAUUUAUUUUUGGUGUAGAGGCUAAAAAAUUUAAGUCUGUUCGACUUUUAAAAUUUUACA